AUACGGAGGGUGCAAGCGUUAUUCGGAAUCACUGGGCGUAAAGGACGCGUAGGCGGGUUGGCAAGUCAGAUGUGAAAUCCUACAGCUUAACUGUAGAACUGCAUUUGAAACUGCUAACCUAGAGUAUGGGAGGGGGAGAUGGAAUUAGUGGUGUAGGGGUAAAAUCCGUAGAUAUCACUAAGAAUACCGAAAGCGAAGGCGAUCUCCUGGAACAUAACUGACGCUAAGGCGUGAAAGCGUGGGGAGCAAACAGGAUUAGAAACCCGAGUAGUCC
RNAcentral lists this ribosomal RNA (274 nucleotides) under uncultured bacterium. RNAcentral describes it as "partial 16S ribosomal RNA". It matches the Rfam family "Bacterial small subunit ribosomal RNA", at positions 523 to 796 of the family's 1533-position model. The record is from RNAcentral.